This is a long non-coding RNA of Dreissena polymorpha, 1067 nucleotides long. RefSeq lists it as uncharacterized. The record is from RefSeq and is a predicted model, not a curated record. NCBI's taxonomy places the organism in Eukaryota, Metazoa, Mollusca, Bivalvia, Myida, Dreissenidae. The transcript has 3 exons.
CAUUGGAGACGCCGUCCCAAUAUUUUUUAGUGUUAAGACACUUAACCGAUAGCAAAUAUUAACUCUGCCCAUUUUCAUAAUAAGUAUGUACCUGAAGGAGUUGAGUUUUAAUCGUUUAAACCUGACACUGUUUUAUUACAAUCCAUUCAAUUGAAUGCCUGCGCCUUCAAAUACCGAAGAUAUCAAUAGAAAUCAUCAGACCAUUCAGGUUUAUUUCAAUAGAUUGUGUAUUGGUAUAUUUUGAAUUGAAGCAUAGGGUAUUAUACUUGAAGUAUUGAUUUAAAUGAUUUGUUAAUAAUGUGGAGACGCGUGAAUCACUGCUAUUUAUUCAGGCAUUAAUUUGUUUGUUGUAUUAUUGAAUCAACUCUCAAGUUAAGGAAGCUAUCUGUAGAAGUUUAAACACAGUGUUGGCAGGGAAACUAGUGGAAGGCCUUAUUUGUGUCAAAAGAUCGUCGAAAAACAAGGGGUAUCAGAAACUUCAAUCAAUCAUUAAGCACUGUAUGGAUGGCUGAAAGUGGCACAAGACCUGAUGAACCGGAAAGAUUUCGAAGACAGGGCAAUGUGUCCAGCAAAGGAGACCUGGUUAGAUGAUUAGUCGAGUGCAGUUUGUGCCCACCAUAACAAUGACAAUUAGCGCAUAGUUUUUCCGUUUAGAUGUCUGCGUUUCCCCUACCCCUAUUAUAUUUCUUAAUGGCAUUUCAAUCUAGUUGGUUAAUGUUUACAUAACUAAAGGCGGAUAUACGUUAAAAUCUUUAGAAAAAAGAACAACGGUAAAUUUAUACUGUUUAUCAAUAAUUGGUCCCAAAUUAAAUACUUAACUUCUGUAAAGAAAUGUGAAACAUUAAAAAUGAAUACAUUCGUUCUCAUGAAUCUCCUAAAACCCACUUAUCAGUGUCUGCACGUGCCAAAGUACGACACUACUUUUUGGCAAAUGUUUUUCACAGUUUUCUUUCAAAUUAGUAAAUAACUAUUUAAACAUCAAGAUAUUGUAUUUACAAACAUAACCAUAAAAUUUAUAUAAGUUCGUUAAAUUAUGCAGCUUAAACCAUAGCAAUGAUGUUUAUUAU